Molecule: long non-coding RNA, 1557 nt
Organism: Zonotrichia albicollis (white-throated sparrow)
Lineage: Eukaryota; Metazoa; Chordata; Aves; Passeriformes; Passerellidae
Source: Ensembl
UCUGUCCCAGCUGCAGUGUCCAUGCCGUCCUUGGGAAAUGCUCCUGGCUGUCUGUCUGUCCCAGCUGCAGUGUCCAUCCUCUCCUCCUGGCUGUCUGUCUGUCCUUCUGUCCCUCACUCACCCCGAGCCUCCAGCAGGGACCCUGCAAAGCAAAAGCAGCGUUAAUGGAAGGGCCAGGCUGGGCUGGAGCUGGAGCCAGGGCUGAUCCUCCCUCAGCACCAACUCCAGGGUUUGCAGGGAUGUGGGAGGAGCAGCAGCCCCAAACCCUUCUCCUCCUUUCCCCCAACCUCUCCUGGGCACUCCCAGAGCUGCUGGGGAGCUGAGAGUGCAAAUCCUCCUGCCCCAAGCACCACCAUGGAGCCCUGCAGGGCACUGACCCCAAACCCCCAGGGCUGGGGGACACAGCACAGAGGGAUCUGGGAUGGGCAGGGAGGCAAAACAUCGAUGGGAGCAUCCCUGAGCUCUGCAGGGCACUGACACUGAACUUCAGGGGCUGGGGGUCACAGCACAGAGGGAUCUGGAACGGGCAGGGAGGUGAAAAACUGCUGAGGACACCCCUGAGGCACCUCCUGAGCUCUGCAGGGCACUGACCCCAAAUUCUCAGGGCUAGGGAUCAAAGACCGGUGGGAUUUGGGAUGAGCAGGGAGCUCAAACAUCAGUGGUGGCAUCCCAGAAGCACCCAGUGCCCCCUAAGAAGGUCUAGAGGACCCUCAUGAGCAUCACUGGGAUUUUCAGGGCACCAACCCCAAUUUUCCAGGCUCUGGAGAUCUGAGCACAGCAAGAUGUGGGACAGACAAGGACACUGGUGACACCCCAGAGGCACCCAGAGCCCCCUAAGAAGGUCUAGAGGACCCUCAUGAGCAUCACUGGGGUUUUCAGGGCACCAGCCCCAAUUUCCCAGGCUCUGUGCACAGCGGCAUGUGGGACAGGCAGGGACACAGGUGACAUCCCAGAGCACCCAGUGCCCGAGGAGAACAUGCAGAAGGUCCAAGCCCUGGGCUGGCAGCUCACAGGGACUCAGGGGGUGCAGGGUGGGUACAGGAUGGGUGCCCCCAGCCCGGGGGUGCAGGUUUGUGCCCCCAGCCCAGGGUGGGUGCAGGACGGAUGCAGGGUGGGUGCAGGUUUGUGCCCCCAGCCCAGGGUNCCAGAGGAUCCCAAAAUUCCCUCUAGCAAAGGAAACUCAGAACUCCAGGAAUUCCAGGGCAAUUCCAGCCCUCCCUUGGUCCUCCUGCCUCCAGGUGAUGCUCCCAGCAGACCCAGCAGACCCUGGAGCAGCCCCGGGGACAGGGAAGGGACCAACCCCAUCCUCCCCCUUCCCUCAGGUGAGCCCUUAUCAAACAGCCCCACCCCCCCAGGUGAGCCCUUAUCAGCCCGCGGCACCACAAAGGGCCAUAAAGCACCGGGAGGUGACAGCUGUGCUCCAGGUGUGCCCCAGGUGGGGCAGGGCCCUUUCAUCUCGCCCCAAACCAGGAAAAACCCACAAGGAUGGGCUUGGGGAGAGCUUGGGAAUUUGUGAUUCCCAAUAAAAUCCAGCAGGAUGGGAUUGGGGAGAGUUUG